Molecule: ribosomal RNA, 403 nt
Filed under: Candidatus Solibacter sp.
Lineage: Bacteria; Pseudomonadati; Acidobacteriota; Terriglobia; Bryobacterales; Solibacteraceae
Also listed under: 1 other name
Description: partial 16S ribosomal RNA
Rfam family: Bacterial small subunit ribosomal RNA
Source: RNAcentral
UGGGGAAUCUUGCACAAUGGGGGCAACCCUGAUGCAGCGACGCCGCGUGAGCGAUGAAGCCCUUCGGGGUGUAAAGCUCUUUCGGCAGGGAAGAUAAUGACGGUACCUGCAGAAGCAGCUGCGGCUAACUACGUGCCAGCAGCCGCGGUAAUACGUAGGCAGCGAGCGUUGUUCGGAGUUACUGGGCGUAAAGGGUGUGUAGGCGGUUGUUUAAGUUUGGUGUGAAAUCUCCCGGCUCAACUGGGAGGGUGCGCCGAAUACUGAAUGACUUCGAGUGCGGGAGAGGAGAGUGGAAUUCCUGGUGUAGCGGUGAAAUGCGUAGAUAUCAGGAGGAACACCGGUGGUGUAGACGGCUCUCUGGACCGUAACUGACGCUGAGACACGAAAGCGUGGGUAGCAAACA